This 1480-nucleotide long non-coding RNA is filed under the name Marmota monax (woodchuck). The record is from RNAcentral. Lineage: Eukaryota; Metazoa; Chordata; Mammalia; Rodentia; Sciuridae.
CAGGACAAGUCCACUCCCCAGGGACCCCCUGCUCUCUAACAGGAGGGGCUUGACAGCUCACCUCUGAAGCCCCUCCAGGGUGACCCAGGGCUUCCUCACACAGGGCUUUCUGUGGCCACUGCAAGGCCUCUGCUCUGUCUUUCUCGUCCUGACCUGUCCUAUCCUGUCACCUGACAGGGAGUCACAGCUGGGGAGCCUGUUUAGGGCUCCUUAAGAGAGGACACCCUGAGCUGUCCCUGUGGCCAUUUCUUCAGCCCCCAAGGGAGGGAGGAAAUCCUGCUCCUCAGCUCCUCCACCUGACCUGGUCUUCUCUGCCUCUGCUCCUGAGGGGGACCUCAGGGCUGGUGUCCUCAGAUCUCCUGCCCAAGGACUCUCCCUCCUCACACCCUUGCAGAUGUGGUCUGCACACCUUGCCCAGGAGGCCAUGUUGCAGCUGUGCCCUUUAGACCAGCUGAUGAAAGCCUCUGCCAGACCUUGAGGUUCCUGUUCAGCACAAAACACUGGCUUCCCUGCAGGACCCUCCUACAAUGCUGGCAGGGGGACACAGACACUGUGGUGACCACAAUGACCUCAUCAAAUCCCUGAGGAUGGUCUGAAAUACAGGCUGUCAGAGCACCCCAUUGCGCUGUUUCCCCAUGGGAUAGCAGGCUGUUUCUCUGGGUACUGCAUUAAACAGAGCACUUAAAUGUACUGACCACCACUGUACUGACAGCCAGCAAGCGCCUGCUGUCCAUGCACAGAGAAACCAACACGGCACCAGGUUUUGCAAGAAGAAAGAACUUGAUAGUUGCUCCCCUGACAGGGAGAGAGGAGGCAGGCACACUCUGUCUCCCCAGGGAGCAGGAAGGGACUUAAGGCAGGGAUGAGAAACAGAAGGCCAGCUGGCUGGAGUCGGGAGUCUUGGUGGCAUGGUCCACACCAGGUGCCCUGGGCCUGGUGGAACCUCUGGGUACUUUGUGAGUGCACUGGUCUCUCUGACCCCAUGCUCCCUCCUGCAGCUGUGGCUGCACCCUGGCUUCUAACCCAGGUCCACAAGACCCUCUUCUGGUUCCUUGGCUUCUCAUCCUUGGAGACUUUUGGUUCCUCUCAGCUCUCUAGGUCUGCAGCUGCAUCCUGAAAAAACAACUUGCAAAGAGUUUUUACAAACAGGGAAGUUGUGGUGUAUGGCCCAUUUUCACACCCAGAAUUACAUAUUUAAAUGUGUUAAACUCUGAUUAGGCUGGAUGACCACAGUGCUAAAGGAUACUUGUAUUUUGCUUAUUAAUUAAAGAGGGAACCAUAGGAUGUCACAGCCCUUUCAAAGGGAGAAUGAAGGGCACCUCAGGCCAGUGGGAAGGUUGAGAGGCAUUUAUUAAUAGAUACCCAGGCUCACAGGGCUGGAUUGUCUCUGGGCACACGUCAUUUCCAGUGCUUACCUUGGGAUGGGGCACAAUUUGCUUUCAUUUGAAAACUCCACAACUUGGAUACUUGUUUUCAAUGU